AAUAGAUACCCGGGUAGUCCACCCCGUAAACGUUGGGAACUAGUUGUGGGGUCCAUUCCACGGAUUCCGUGACGCAGCUAACGCAUUAAGUUCCCCGCCUGGGGAGUACGGCCGCAAGGCUAAAACUCAAAGGAAUUGACGGGGACCCGCACAAGCGGCGGAGCAUGCGGAUUAAUUCGAUGCAACGCGAAGAACCUUACCAAGGCUUGACAUACACGAGAACGGGCCAGAAAUGGUCAACUCUUUGGACACUCGUGAACAGGUGGUGCAUGGUUGUCGUCAGCUCGUGUCGUGAGAUGUUGGGUUAAGUCCCGCAACGAGCGCAACCCUCGUUCUAUGUUGCCAGCACGUAAUGGUGGGAACUCAUGGGAUACUGCCGGGGUCAACUCGGAGGAAGGUGGGGAUGACGUCAAAUCAUCAUGCCCCUUAUGUCUUGGGCUUCACGCAUGCUACAAUGGCCGGUACAAAGGGCUGCAAUACCGUGAGGUGGAGCGAAUCCCAAAAAGCCGGUCCCAGUUCGGAUUGAGGUCUGCAACUCGA
RNAcentral lists this ribosomal RNA (540 nucleotides) under uncultured bacterium. RNAcentral's name for it is "bacterial SSU rRNA". It matches the Rfam family "Bacterial small subunit ribosomal RNA", at positions 777 to 1315 of the family's 1533-position model. The record is from RNAcentral.